UAAGGAAUAUUGGCCAAUGGGCGCAAGCCUGAACCAGCCAUGCCGCGUGCAGGAAGACGGCCCUAUGGGUUGUAAACUGCUUUUGUCAGGGAAUAAACCCCCGCUCGUGAGCGGGGCUGAAGGUACCUGAAGAAUAAGCAUCGGCUAACUCCGUGCCAGCAGCCGCGGUAAUACGGAGGAUGCAAGCGUUAUCCGGAUUCAUUGGGUUUAAAGGGUGCGCAGGCGGAUUGGUAAGUCAGGGGUGAAAUCCCACAGCUC
RNAcentral lists this ribosomal RNA (258 nucleotides) under uncultured bacterium. Its description in RNAcentral is "partial 16S ribosomal RNA". It matches the Rfam family "Bacterial small subunit ribosomal RNA", at positions 355 to 610 of the family's 1533-position model. The record is from RNAcentral.